Molecule: ribosomal RNA, 484 nt
Filed under: uncultured bacterium
Lineage: Bacteria
Description: partial 16S ribosomal RNA
Rfam family: Bacterial small subunit ribosomal RNA
Source: RNAcentral
AUUGAACGCUGGCGGCAGGCCUAACACAUGCAAGUCGAGCGGCAGCAGGGAGCUUGCUCCUGGAUUCAGCGGCGGACGGGCGAGUAAUGCCUAGGAAUCUGCCUGGUUGUGGGGGAUAACGUCCGGAAACGGGCGCUCAUACCGCAUAAGUCCUGAGGGAGAAAGGGGGGGAUCUUCGGACCUCACGCUAUCAGAUGAGCCUAGGUCGGAUUAGCUAGUUGGUGGGGUAAAGGCCUACCAAGGCGACGAUCCGUAACUGGUCUGAGAGGAUGAUCAGUCACACUGGAACUGAGACACGGUCCAGACUCCUACGGGAGGCAGCAGUGGGGAAUAUUGGACAAUGGGCGAAAGCCUGAUCCAGCCAUGCCGCGUGUGUGAAGAAGGUCUUCGGAUUGUAAAGCACUUUUAUUGGGGAGGAAGAGCAGUAAGUUAAUACCUCGCUGUUUUGACGUUACCAACAGAAUAAGCACCGGCUAACUUCGUG